UACAACAAAAGAUGGCAGGGACCA
This 24-nucleotide non-coding RNA is filed under the name Mus musculus (house mouse). The record is from RNAcentral. Lineage: Eukaryota; Metazoa; Chordata; Mammalia; Rodentia; Muridae.